GAUGAACGCUGACAGAAUGCUUAACACAUGCAAGUCGAUGGGGAAGUGGUGCUUGCACCAUGGUAACCAUGGCGGACGGGUGAGUAACACGUAAGGAACUUACCUGCGGGACCGGGAUAACAGCAGGAAACUGCUGACAAGACCGGAUAAGGUCAUUAAGCUGCAUAGCUUAGUGAUGAAAGGAGACGCCUGCGGAGAGCCUUGCGUCCUAUUAGCUAGUUGGAGGGGUAACGGCCCACCAAGGCGAAGAUAGGUAGCCGGCCUGAGUGGGUGGACGGCCACAAGGGGACUGAGAUACGGCCCUUACUCCUACGGGAGGCAGCAGUGGGGAAUAUUGGACAAUGGGGGCAACCCUGAUCCAGCAAUUCUGUGUGCACGAAGACGGUUUUCGGAUUGUAAAGUGCUUUCAGCAGGGAAGAAGGAAGUGACGGUACCUGCAGAAGAAGCGACGGCUAAAUACGUG
This 463-nucleotide ribosomal RNA is filed under the name uncultured bacterium. RNAcentral's name for it is "partial 16S ribosomal RNA". It matches the Rfam family "Bacterial small subunit ribosomal RNA", at positions 28 to 507 of the family's 1533-position model. The record is from RNAcentral.